UUACGUUAACCUUACCGUACGGUUUAGGUUAGUACUACGUAGGUCGGUCCUACGGAAGGUAGUAACGGAACCGUACGUACGGCCGGACGGACGGUUAACUUAACUAACUAGUCGAACGUACGGUAGGGACGGAGUCAAGGUACACGAAAGUGUAUUGUUGGCGACCGGCGGACGGGUGAGUAAUAGGUAGGUAACCUACCUCAUACUGAGGCAUAGCUGGGAGAAAUUCCAGGUAAUUCCUCAUGAGGUUAUAUGACACAUGUGAUAUAAUCAAAGGUAUCGCAAGGUACUGGUAUGAGAUGGGCUUACUGACCAUUAGCUAGUUGGUGGGAUAAGAGCUCACCAAGGCGAAGAUGGUUAGGGGUUUUGAGAGAGAGAUCCCCCACAUUGGAACUGAGAUACGGUCCAGACUCCUACGGGAGGCAGCAGUAGGGAAUAUUGGGCAAUGGGCGGAAGCCUGACCCAGCCAUGCCGCGUGAGGGAAGACGGCCUUCGGGUUGUAAACCUCAGUUAUACGGGACGAAGGAAGUGACGGUACCGUAAGAGAAAGCCACGGCUAACUACGUG
RNAcentral lists this ribosomal RNA (567 nucleotides) under uncultured bacterium. Its description in RNAcentral is "bacterial SSU rRNA". The stretch from base 84 to 567 matches the Rfam family "Bacterial small subunit ribosomal RNA", at positions 1 to 507 of the family's 1533-position model. The record is from RNAcentral.